GACGAACGCUGGCGGCGUGCUUAACACAUGCAAGUCGAACGGAAAGGCCCUGCUUUUGUGGGGUGCUCGAGUGGCGAACGGGUGAGUAACACGUGAGUAACCUGCCCUUGACUUUGGGAUAACUUCAGGAAACUGGGGCUAAUACCGUAUAGGAGCUCCUGCUGCAUGGUGGGGGUUGGAAAGUUUCGGCGGUUGGGGAUGGACUCGCGGCUUAUCAGCUUGUUGGUGGGGUAGUGGCUUACCAAGGCUUUGACGGGUAGCCGGCCUGAGAGGGUGACCGGCCACAUUGGGACUGAGGGACGGCCCAGACUCCUACGGGAGGCAGCAGUGGGGAAUAUUGCACAAUGGGCGGAAGCCUGAUGCAGCAACGCCGCGUGCGGGAUGACGGCCUUCGGGUUGUAAACCGCUUUCGCCUGUGACGAAGCGUGAGUGACGGUAAUGGGUAAAGAAGCACCGGCUAACUACGUG
RNAcentral lists this ribosomal RNA (468 nucleotides) under uncultured bacterium. RNAcentral's name for it is "partial 16S ribosomal RNA". It matches the Rfam family "Bacterial small subunit ribosomal RNA", at positions 28 to 507 of the family's 1533-position model. The record is from RNAcentral.